CCCAGCUGAGGUUGAGGCGUAUACUGAUUGGAAUAGUGCAGAGAAGAUGAGCGCGGUCCCCAUGCAGGGAUGACACACAAACUCACGAAGCAGUCUGGGUUUUU
This is a small nuclear RNA of Onychomys torridus (southern grasshopper mouse), 104 nucleotides long. The record is from RefSeq and is a predicted model, not a curated record. Lineage: Eukaryota; Metazoa; Chordata; Mammalia; Rodentia; Cricetidae.